AUACGUAGGGGGCUAGCGUUAUCCGGAAUUACUGGGCGUAAAGGGUGCGUAGGUGGUUUCUUAAGUCAGAAGUGAAAGGCUACGGCUCAACCGUAGUAAGCUUUUGAAACUAAGAGACUUGAGUGCAGGAGAGGAGAGUAGAAUUCCUAGUGUAGCGGUGAAAUGCGUAGAUAUUAGGAGGAAUACCAGUUGCGAAGGCGGCUCUCUGGACUGUAACUGACACUGAGGCACGAAAGCGUGGGGAGCAAACAGGAUUAGAUACCCUGGUAGUCCACGCCGUAAACGCUGAGUACUAGCUGUCGGGGGUUACCCCCCUCGGUGGCGCAGCUAACGCAUUAAGUACUCCGCCUGGGAAGUACGCUCGCAAGAGUGAAACUCAAAUGAAUUGACGGGG
RNAcentral lists this ribosomal RNA (394 nucleotides) under uncultured bacterium. RNAcentral's name for it is "partial 16S ribosomal RNA". It matches the Rfam family "Bacterial small subunit ribosomal RNA", at positions 523 to 918 of the family's 1533-position model. The record is from RNAcentral.